RNAcentral lists this ribosomal RNA (777 nucleotides) under Bacillus altitudinis. Its description in RNAcentral is "bacterial SSU rRNA". It matches the Rfam family "Bacterial small subunit ribosomal RNA", at positions 48 to 808 of the family's 1533-position model. Lineage: Bacteria; Bacillati; Bacillota; Bacilli; Caryophanales; Bacillaceae. The record is from RNAcentral.
GCUAUACAUGCAAGUCGAGCGGACAGAAGGGAGCUUGCUCCCGGAUGUUAGCGGCGGACGGGUGAGUAACACGUGGGUAACCUGCCUGUAAGACUGGGAUAACUCCGGGAAACCGGAGCUAAUACCGGAUAGUUCCUUGAACCGCAUGGUUCAAGGAUGAAAGACGGUUUCGGCUGUCACUUACAGAUGGACCCGCGGCGCAUUAGCUAGUUGGUGAGGUAACGGCUCACCAAGGCGACGAUGCGUAGCCGACCUGAGAGGGUGAUCGGCCACACUGGGACUGAGACACGGCCCAGACUCCUACGGGAGGCAGCAGUAGGGAAUCUUCCGCAAUGGACGAAAGUCUGACGGAGCAACGCCGCGUGAGUGAUGAAGGUUUUCGGAUCGUAAAGCUCUGUUGUUAGGGAAGAACAAGUGCAAGAGUAACUGCUUGCACCUUGACGGUACCUAACCAGAAAGCCACGGCUAACUACGUGCCAGCAGCCGCGGUAAUACGUAGGUGGCAAGCGUUGUCCGGAAUUAUUGGGCGUAAAGGGCUCGCAGGCGGUUUCUUAAGUCUGAUGUGAAAGCCCCCGGCUCAACCGGGGAGGGUCAUUGGAAACUGGGAAACUUGAGUGCAGAAGAGGAGAGUGGAAUUCCACGUGUAGCGGUGAAAUGCGUAGAGAUGUGGAGGAACACCAGUGGCGAAGGCGACUCUCUGGUCUGUAACUGACGCUGAGGAGCGAAAGCGUGGGGAGCGAACAGGAUUAGAUACCCUGGUAGUCCACGCCGUAAACG